AAUAGAUGAUGCCGUUGACUUUUUCUCACAUGUUUGACCAUUCGUCUUAUUUAAAAAAUUUAUGUAAUUAUAAUUUAUUUUAUCAUGAGUUGUUUUAUCAAUCAUAGUAUUUUAAGUGUGAUUUAAUUACGUAAAUUUUUUGAAUAAGACGAAUGGUCAAACAUGUGAGAAAAAGUCAACGGCGUCAUCUAUU
Oryza nivara is the source of this 193-nucleotide non-coding RNA. The record is from Rfam. Lineage: Eukaryota; Viridiplantae; Streptophyta; Magnoliopsida; Poales; Poaceae.